RNAcentral lists this non-coding RNA (840 nucleotides) under Florometra sp. BMK-2020. Its description in RNAcentral is "12S ribosomal RNA". The stretch from base 427 to 837 matches the Rfam family "Microsporidia small subunit ribosomal RNA", at positions 752 to 1303 of the family's 1311-position model. Lineage: Eukaryota; Metazoa; Echinodermata; Crinoidea; Comatulida; Antedonidae. The record is from RNAcentral.
GAAAACUUGGUUCUAAUUUCCUUUACUUUUUUAUUUAUAAUGAUACAUGCAAAAAAAUUUGACCCAGUGGAAAAAAUAAAAAUUAAAAAUAAAAAAAAGAUAAAUAAAGAAAACAGAUUUCUUUAAUUAAUAAAGCCACAACAGCAGUACUAAACAUUAAGCAAUUAGUAAAAACUAGACUUAGUAAUAAAAAUAAAAUAUUGGUAAAAAUACGUGCCAGCCACCGCGGUUAUACGUAAAAUAUAAAAAGUAAAACAAACAAACAAGUGAAAAACAAAAUUAGUAUUUUAAAAACAAACUUAACAGUCAAAUGUAAAUAAUUAAAGAAAACCAAUUACACGAAAGUAAAAUACAACAAAAACUUCACGAAAAUUUAAAAACAAACCAGGAUUAGAGACCCUUUUAUGUUAAAUUAUAAACAUUAAAAAGUACUACGAGUAAAAAACUUAAAACUUAAAGAACUUGGCGGUUUUUUAGACCUCCCUAGAGGAGCUUGUUUAAUAAUCGAUAAUCCACGAAAAACCUUACCUUUUUUAGAAAUCAGCUUGUAUAUCAUCAUCGUCAGCUCACCUUAAUAAAAGAAGUAAGCCCAAAGGAAAACUCCAAAACGUUAGAUCAAGAUGCAGCCAAUAAAAAGAGAAAAAAAUGAGCUACAAUACUCCCAAAAGAAUGCGAAAUUUUAAAUUAAUAAAAUAAAAAGAAGAAGGAUUUAGUAGUAAGAAAGUUUAAAUAAAAACAAUCUGAAAAAAGCUCUAAAAUACGUACACACCGCCCGUCACUCUCCUUUUUAAAAGGAGAAAAGUCGUAACAAGGUAAGAGUAGGGGAACCUGCUCUUGGAA